GACAGAGGGUGCAAGCGUUGCUCGGAAUCACUGGGCGUAAAGGGCGCGUAGGCGGGAUGGCAAGUCGGUCGUGAAAUCUCUCGGCUCAACCGAGAAACGUCGGCCGAUACUGCCGUUCUUGAGGGAUGCAGAGGAGACUGGAAUUCCCGGUGUAGCGGUGAAAUGUGUAGAGAUCGGGAGGAACACCGGUGGCGAAGGCGGGUCUCUGGGCAUUUCCUGACGCUGAGGCGCGAAAGCGUGGGGAGCAAACAGG
Molecule: ribosomal RNA, 253 nt
Filed under: uncultured bacterium
Lineage: Bacteria
Description: partial 16S ribosomal RNA
Rfam family: Bacterial small subunit ribosomal RNA
Source: RNAcentral